RNAcentral lists this ribosomal RNA (161 nucleotides) under uncultured bacterium. RNAcentral describes it as "partial 16S rRNA". It matches the Rfam family "Bacterial small subunit ribosomal RNA", at positions 358 to 511 of the family's 1533-position model. The record is from RNAcentral.
GGAAUCUUCCACAAUGGACGCAAGUCUGAUGGAGCAAUGCCGCGUGAGUGAAGAAGGUCUUCGGAUCGUAAAACUCUGUUGUUAGAGAAGAACACGAGUGAGAGUAACUGUUCAUUCGAUGACGGUAUCUAACCAGCAAGUCACGGCUAACUACGUGCCAG